This is a long non-coding RNA of Trichosurus vulpecula (common brushtail), 2316 nucleotides long. RefSeq lists it as uncharacterized. The transcript has 9 exons. Lineage: Eukaryota; Metazoa; Chordata; Mammalia; Diprotodontia; Phalangeridae. The record is from RefSeq and is a predicted model, not a curated record.
UCCUGUUUGCCUCAGAGAUUCUCCAGAUCUUAGUUAAGAGAUGGGGCUGGCAGUAGGAGGUAGAGGUUGCCUUGUGUUUGUACAGAUGGAAGUUGUUGAUUUGGGGCAGAUGGAAGAUUCCUGACCUAGCCUCUUGCCACAUUCUUGCAGGGGUCCUGCUGUGCCCAGCAGGGGAUGGAAGGCACAAGGCAUGGGGUUAGAAGAACAUUAGACUCCUUUUCUCAACUGAAGAAGCUGAUGAAGAGUGGGUAGCAGGAGGUGGUAGACUCCCAUGGAGAGGGAAGUCCUUUGGGGCAGAUGAAGAUGCCUGAUCCCUUGCCACCUUCCCUCAAAGGACACAAUGACCACUGUAUUUAAUUUUCCUCCAACUUGUUUUUCUUGUUUUUGUGCCUUUUCAUUUCCUUCAUUCCUGCAUAUAUUGAAUGUAAGAAGUAAAAAUAAAUCAUUGCAAGUGGCAAAGGAUGCCCAGGUCCGGGUUGGAGUCAAGGGUCAACCGUGGGUCAAUUUCUCUUUUAUUUUCCUGUGAGUCCCUUAAGGUUAAUUUUAUUCCUGCACUCUUUCAUUCUUAGGAGCACUCCCAGGAAGAGUUUAGCAGUCUAACGCCUGUGCACAGAUGUCCUGUCACAGCUGGCACCAUUACAAAGAUCAUUCCAGUGAAGAGCUGUGCAAUCUCCCUUUUCUGGACAAAUUUCAAUUUGAAAAGCUCACUUAUUUCAGAAAGGAUUAUAUUAACCUGGAAGAUUUCAGAAGUCACCCUCAGGUUCACUGUUGCAACCAUCCCACUUCUCUUUGAAAAGGACGGAGAUACCCUGAAAGAUUUGAGAAGGGGCCCCCUCAUCCACAAAUGUCCUCAGGUUUAUUCCCAGGAAGAGCGGAGGAACUUUCCCCUUAUGGACAGAUUUCAUUUUGACAAGGUCACUGUUUCUUUUCAAAAGUCAAAGAGCUGAGAAUGAAUGAGGUCAUGUGACUUGGCCUUCUUGACAUGUCUGGAUUUAGUAAUAUCCUGGAAGAUUUGAGGAGUCACCCUCUUGUUUACAAGUUUCCUCAUGGAAAUAUCCCUCUUCCUUUUGAAAGGUGUGAUUGUCUGCAUUAUUAUGAAGCUAAUAGUUCACCUUUCAAGGGGGAUACCAUAUACUGCCCAAAGGGAGUGUAAUCUGGAAACUACUGCCGGUGGAUACUGGGGCCUGGGAAAGAUUGAGGGAAUGACCUUGGCAUCACCUAAGGGAGGAUUCUCUUGACUUAAUUUCACCAUUGUGCUAUUCCUUUAUGAUUAGAUUUGAGUAAAAUUACCUAGGAAUCUCUGCAAGUGCCUUGGAAUCAGAGAAGCAAACCCACUGGAAAGAGUCACUUCAGAGCUGCCCUGGGAAUGAGACCUAUUCUCCAAUGUCCAAGGGAAGAUGUUGCCAGGGACAAGACAAAAACAUGGGACAUCUGGGACUCAAGUUGAAAUGUACUGAUUAACUGAAUAUUGAGAGUUGGUUACAAGGAGAAUUGAUCCUAUUUAACAUUGAUGAUCAUUCUUGUAUUAUUUUGGUCUUUUGUUUCAUGGUAUUUAUAUUUACUGAGUUUUCUUGGUGACCUUGCUAAUGUGUAAAUCUCCCUUCUAAAAUUAGUACAUGACGAGCCCUCUCAAUGGCUUAACUUGCCUAAGUUGACAUACAGAGCUUAUUUAACAAGGUUUGUCUCCUUGGGAGAUACAUGAGAUUAUGAUUCUAUACCUAAGAUUAUUUGACUUUAUGGCAUUGAUGGAAACAUGGGAUUAUGAUUUGUGAUCCUCAUGAUGACAGUACACUUGUUUCCUGUUGUAAGUUUAAGUCCCCUAGCUUAUAGCCACAGAUGCUUGCUCAAAAUGAUGUGGCAUGAGUAGCAGAGACCAGGAUGAUGCAGUUGAGGAUAAAGGAGUGAGAUGAAACCAGUUGUGCUGCUGUACCAUAUAUAUGGUUAGCACCAAAUGGGAGAAUUAUUGAAAGUUAUGCUGACUUGAUGACAUAUUGUUCCCAGUCCUGCUUGUCAAUCACUGUUGGGGGAGGCAUCACCCUAACAGUUGCAGCUUUUGUAUUGUUACCUGCUAUCUUCACAUAUCAGGUCAUCUACUAACUGUUAGCUUGCAUGUACUGGCAGUUGGAGAGGAGCUGAGAUGCAAUGUCCCAUCCCCUUUUGCUAAUGCAGACCUAUUAGAAAUGUCUUUAUCUUGUUGUGAAAGUUAUCAACAAAAACUGUCUCCAUCUUGAAUCCCUGGCUGAUGUCUUAGUGAUCAACUUGUUAACAUGUUACUUCCUAGAUGCACUUUUAAUAAACUGCUUUAAAUUCUCUUUU